Molecule: transfer RNA, 85 nt
Filed under: Moraxella sp.
Lineage: Bacteria; Pseudomonadati; Pseudomonadota; Gammaproteobacteria; Moraxellales; Moraxellaceae
Description: tRNA-Leu
Rfam family: tRNA
About the family: Transfer RNA (tRNA) molecules are approximately 80 nucleotides in length. Their secondary structure includes four short double-helical elements and three loops (D, anti-codon, and T loops).
Source: RNAcentral
GCGAACGUGGUGGAAUUGGUAGACACGCUAUCUUGAGGGGGUAGUGCCUUACGGCGUGAGGGUUCAAGUCCCUCCGUUCGCACCA